This 317-nucleotide unclassified non-coding RNA is filed under the name Hevea brasiliensis (rubber tree). Lineage: Eukaryota; Viridiplantae; Streptophyta; Magnoliopsida; Malpighiales; Euphorbiaceae. The record is from RNAcentral.
CUCGGAUCGGCUUGGUUCGUUUACACUCUCUUAUGGGGUAGAGAUAGGAGGAGCGAUCCUCAUCCCCCAUCCGCUCCAUUGGCAUUCCUAUAUAUAUGAAGCCUCAAGUGCACUGUGCUGGAAAAAUUAACCAGAAACUCUGAUUUGGAACCUAAAAAGGUAAUCUUUUAUAUUGGGGAUGUCAUCCAGCUCCCCUUCUGAUUCUCCCUCAGGUGAUUCACCGGACUUCAUCAGAAGUUUUAUGGAGAGCCUGUCUUUGUGAAGUAAGAUGAGAAAUCUACUUGCAGGUUCUCAUACUUGUUCAUGAAUGGAUGAGU